Gossypium arboreum is the source of this 699-nucleotide long non-coding RNA. RefSeq lists it as uncharacterized. NCBI's taxonomy places the organism in Eukaryota, Viridiplantae, Streptophyta, Magnoliopsida, Malvales, Malvaceae. The record is from RefSeq and is a predicted model, not a curated record. The transcript is spliced from 2 exons.
GCACUAAACGCACCGUUUUACCCCAUUAUAAGACUUACAAUUUUUUUCCUUAUUUCUUUGUUUGUUUCAAAGAAGAAUGACCUUCUCUCUUUUCCUCUCUAACCAACCCAAAGGUCAGUCACCGACCAUCGCUGGUCUGUCGCCGGCGACCCCCAUGCACGGUGGUUGGAGUUCCAAAACCCUCAUUUUUCCCCUUUUUUAAACUUAGAACUCGGAUCUAGUGCCCAUUUUGAAAAAAAAAAUUGAAAGUCUUCAAGAAAACGAACCAAAAACCUUCAUGUAUUUUAGGGCCUUGUAUUUUUUUAAAGAAACAAAGAAGGAAAACAGGCUUCGUCACGGUUCAUCGGCGGUGACGUCCUCUUCUGACCCACAAUAUCAAACCCUUCGGCUUAAGGUGGCGUGGUGGACGUGGGCACUGACGUACCGCGCACAACACGGAGGGGCGCGCGACGUGCAGGCACGAGCGGCGACUUGCCUAGGGUUUUCCUCUUUUUUGCUGAAAAAGUCUUUGGGCUUGUAAUUUUGGGCUAGAGUUUAGGGUUUUUUGGUUUGGGUUUUGUUGUAUUUGGACUUACAAAAAACUAGACUAUUGUUUAUUGGGACCCGGGCUAAAAUUGGGCCCUACAAUAUAUGUACACACUUGAUGUACACACAUAAAUGAUACAGUUAAAAUAAUAUAUGUAUUAGAUUUUUUAUAAA